AUGCGUCCGUCUCAGGACCGCCGCCCCUUCCGCCCGCCGGACCGAGUCUCGCCGCCUCCCCACCUGCACCGCCAGCAGCGGCCCCGCCAGCCGCCCCCGCACGCGCGGCAGUUCGCGGUGAUCCUCCUCCGCGCGGGCCCCAGCUCCUCCUCCCCGCCGGCCACGGAGGUCGACGCCCUCGUCGCGGGCCUCCAGUCGCCGCCCCCCGACAGCCUAUCCGCCUGCUCCUCCGGCCGCCAGGCCGCCCAACUCCUCUUCCGCUCCCUCCCCACCGCCGCGGCCGCCGCGCGCGAGCUCUGGUCGCUCCGCCUCGACGGCCUCCACCUCCUCACCCCGCACCUCCCCGACGCCGCCCUCGCCUCCCACGCCUACCCCCUCGUCGCCUCCCUCUUCGCCUCCCACGCGUCCCGCCUCCUCGACUCCGGCCUCGUCUCCCGCUCCGCCGCCCGCUCCGCUGAGCUCGCGGUCUCCAUCCAGUCUGUGAAACGCCGCCUGCGCGGUCACAAUAACUUCCGCGACUUCGAUCAGUUCAAUCUCCAGAAGAGAACACUGGAGGCUGAGAAGGAAUUGAUAGAUGCCAAAAUUGCCGAGUACAAAGCAGCCAUGAGUUCGAUAAGGCGUGCCAUGUUACAUGGGACGGAUGACGAGGAGGAAGUGGAUGAGGAAGAAGGGGUGGAUGUGUUUGGGAUUGGGGAAGGAGAGGAUGUGGACUUUGUGAGGUUGCACAUGAUGAUGCUGCGUGAGUGCAGGAGGCUCAACGAGGGGCUACCAAUCUACGCAUACCGCAGAAAGAUUCUCAAUCACAUUUUCAAUAAUCAGGUUAUGAUCUUAAUUGGGGAAACUGGUUCUGGGAAAAGCACACAACUAGUUCAGUUUCUUGCUGACUCGGGUCUUUCUGGUAAUGAUUCAAUUGUCUGUACGCAACCUCGGAAAAUUGCUGCUUUAUCAUUGGCACACAGAGUAGAUGAAGAAAGCAAGGGCUGCUAUGCAGACAAUUUUGUGUCGUCAUGUUCAAGCUUUUGGAAUGAUCAAAAUUUCAGUUCGAAGAUUAUAUUUUGCACAGAUAGUUGUCUUUUAUAUCACUGUAUGAAUGAUGCGGACCUGAAUGGCAUUUCCUAUAUCAUUGUUGAUGAAGCUCAUGAAAGAAGCUUGAACACCGAUCUUCUCUUAGCUUUGAUCAAAAAGAAGCUGCUUGAUAGGUUGGAUUUGCGACUCAUUAUAAUGUCUGCCACUGCUGAUGCUAAUAGACUUGCUGAAUACUUUUAUGGCUGCCAAACAUUCCAUGUGAAAGGGAGAAAUUUUCCUGUUGAAAUUAAAUAUGUACCUGAUGUAUCAGUUGAUGCUUCUUUCAAUAUUGUGCCAAACUCUUUGCGUGGUCCUUGUGCUGCUGCUUCUUAUGUCAAUGAUGUUAUAAGGCAGGUAAGCAUCAUCCACAAGAAUGAAGAAGAGGGUGCCAUCCUUGCUUUCUUGACAUCCCAGCUAGAAGUUGAAUGGGCCUGUGAAAAUUUCACCGAUGCAAGUGCGGUGGUACUUCCUAUGCAUGGAAAGCUUUCCCCUGUGGAACAGAGUCGUGUUUUCAAAAGCUAUUCUGGAAUGAGAAAAAUUAUCUUCUGCACCAAUAUAGCUGAAACAUCACUUACUAUAAAAGAAGUGAAGUAUGUUGUUGAUUCUGGACUGGUCAAGGACAGCAGAUUUGUGCCUAGCAGUGGUCUUAAUGUUCUGAAAGUCAAUUGGAUUUCCCAAAGUUCAGCUAAUCAACGCGCUGGCCAGGCAGGUCGAACGGGAGUGGGGAAGUGUUAUAGGCUUUACUCCGAAGCCGACUUCAGUAUGAUGGAACUGCAUCAAGAACCUGAAAUCCAAAAAGUUCAUCUUGGCACUGCUGUUCUAAGAAUACUUGCUUUGGGUGUUAAAGAUGCACAGAAUUUUGAGUUUGUUGAUGCCCCAAAUCCAGAAGUGAUCAAUAUGGCUGUGAAGAACCUUGAACAGUUGGGUGCUGUCAAAUGUAAUUGUAAUUGCUAUGAGCUGACUGAUACUGGACGCCACUUGGUCAAAUUGGGAAUUGAGCCAAGGCUUGGAAAAAUUAUGCUUGAUUGCUUUGGUUUUGGUUUGAGGAAGGAAGGUGUAGUUUUAGCUGCUGUUAUGGCAAAUUCUAGCAGCAUCUUUUGUAGAGUGGGCACUGAUGAGGAGAAACACAAAGCUGACCUUCAGAAAGUCCGUUUGUGUCACCAAGAUGGAGAUCUGUUCACUCUACUCGCUGUUUAUAAGAAAUGGGAGGAUGGGCAUGAGAACAGGAAUAUGUGGUGUUGGCAGAACAGCAUCAAUGCCAAAACCAUGAGGAGGUGCCAGGAAACUAUAUCAGAACUUGAAAAUUGUCUAAAGCAUGAGUUGAAAAUUAUAAUCCCAAGUUAUUGGUGUUGGAAUCCUGAGGCUCCCAGCGAGCAUGAUAAGUUGCUAAAAAGAAUUAUCUUGUCAUCUCUUGCAGGUAAUCUUGCUAUGUUUUUAGGACAUGAAAGGUUUGGUUACCAGGUGAUUUCAACAGAUCAGAUUGUGAACCUUCAUCCCUCAUGCUCAUUGCUCAAUUAUGGUACCAAGCCAGAUUGGGUGGUCUUUUCAGAAAUCUUAUCCGUCCCAAAUCAAUAUCUGGUAUGCGUAACUGCUGUUGAUCAUGAUGCUUUGUAUGCAAUUCACCCAAUGUCUUCCGUUCAGCAACUGGAGAAACAUAAAUUACAGAUAAAGGUGAUUAGUGGGCUUGGUAAUAACUUGCUGGCAAAAUUUGUUGGCAAAUCUGGCCAAAAUCAGCAGAAGAUCAUCUCACAUCUCAAGGAAGAUUGCAAGGAUGACCGAGUAACUGUUGAAGUUAACUUUAACAAUAACGAAGUCGUGUUAUUUGCUACCGCACAGCACAUGGAAAAGGUCUUUUGCAUUGUUAACAAUGCUAUGGAAUGUGAAGGUAAGUUGAUGAGGAACGAGUGCCUUGAGAGAAGUUUAUUUCCCGAGAGGUCAGGCAGCUCUCCUAUUGCACUAUUUGGCUCAGGUGCUGAGGUCAAACAUUUAGAACUUGGGAAGAGAUAUCUGACAGUAGAGGUUCUACAUCAAAAUGCAAGUGACAUCAAUGACAAGGAGCUUAUUAGCUUGGUGGAUAGUCUUGUCUCCGGUAUUGCUAAUUUUCAUAAAUCCAGUGGAAAUUUCAGGCUAGGCUCAGAUGAAACUAAAUGGGGGAAGAUUACAUUCCUCAAACCUGAAAAUGCUGAAGAUGCUGUGUCAAAAUUGAACGGGGUAGAAUUUCAUGGUUCCUCUCUAAAAAUAGUUCCUGUAUGUUCUCCUGAUAAUCAAGGUUUACGAUUUCCUUCAGUAAGAGCUAAAUUAUGUUGGCCACGUAAGGAAAGCAGGGGCCUUGCACUUGUAACAUGUGCCAGUGGGGAAGCUCAAUCUGUUGUAGAUGACUGCUUUGCCUUAGGAAUCGAUGGAAGUUGUAGGGUUAGUAUGAAGGAGGAGAACUGUGUAUUUGUCGAAAGAAUUCCAUUGCAUGUCUCGGAGCGGGAACUAUAUGAUGCUUUUCGCAGCGCAACAACAAGGAGAAUCCUUAAUAUCCGCCUGCUCAGGGUCAAGGAAGCCACUAUAGCUAGCCCCUCUGUUUCUGUAUGCGAAGAAGUGCUGAUUAGAGAAAUUUCUCCAUUCAUGCCAAACAAGAGUUUUCCUGGAAAAAGUUUCCGUGUUGAAGUGUUCCCUCCCGAGGAAAAUGACUCGAUGAUGAGAGCAACUUUAACUUUUGAUGGAAAUCUUCAUCGAGAAGCUGCAAGAGCACUGGACCAUCUUGAAGGAAGUAUUCUUCCUUGUUGUCAACCUUGGCAGAUAAUACAGUGCAAGCAUGUAUUUCAUAGCACUAUGUCCUGUUCAGUGCGUGUUUACAAUGUUAUCAGCCAGGAAGUUACUUCUCUGCUUGAGAGCUUCCGAAGCCAAAAAGGUGUGUCUUACAAUUAUGAGAAGACCGAGAAUGGUAUUUUCCGAGUAAAGCUCACUGCAAAUGCCACAAAAACAAUAGCAGAUCUGAGAAGGCCGCUUGAGAUUUUGAUGAAAGGGAAAACCAUAGACCACCCUGAUCUGACAUUAAGUGCAGUUCAGAUGCUCUUAUCCCGUGAUGGUGUAGCACAUUUGAAAUCAAUUGAACAAGAAACUGAAAUGAAGGUCGGGCUUUUACAAGCCCGGCCCAAAACCCGGCCCGGCCCGAUGUUUGCCCAGGUUUGUGUCCAGCAUCACAUGGCUGAAGCUGAAGCUAAAUUGGUCCAUGCACUUCCACAGCUCCUUGAGAAGCGGCCUCUUGAAAUUUGUCUUCGUGGGCAUAACCUCCCUCCAGACUUGAUGAAGAAAACAGUAGAAAAUUUUGGAGUUGAUCUGGAAGGAUUCAAGACUGUGAUGCCCUCGGUAAAGGUUGAGUUACAUAAACACCGCCAUAUACUUAAAGUUUGGGGCAGUAGAGAGGAUAAGCGAAGGGUGGAGGGGAUGAUCUCUGAGCUGAUAACCUCAGUUAAACACAAUGUCCCGGUUCACCUUCCGUCAGAGAAUGUUGGAGGCAGUAAAGAUGAUAAUCAAAGGGUGGCUGACAAUGAGCUUUCAAUGGAUGCAUGCGCUAUUUGCUUGUGUGAGACGGAAGAUCCUUUUAAGCUUGAAUCGUGUGGGCACAUAUUUUGUCGGGCUUGCUUGGUGGAUCAGUGUGAAGUUGCCACAAAAUCGUAUGAUGGGUUCCCUGUUUGUUGCCUCAAAACUGGGUGCAAGAAGCCAUUCCUCAUUGUUGAUCUGAAGCACCUCGUGUCAAAUGAGAAGCUGGAGGACCUAUUCAGUGCUUCCUUAAGGGCAUUUGUUGCAUCUAGGGCAGGAAUAUACCGUUUCUGCCCAACACCGGAUUGCCGAUCCAUCUACCAGGUGGCAGCUCCAGAUGCAGAGACCAAACCUUUUGUCUGUGGGGCUUGCUAUGUGGAGAUCUGCACCAAGUGCCAUCUCGAGUAUCAUCCUUUCAUAUCCUGUGAGGCUUACAAAGAAUACAAGGAAGACCCAGACGCAACACUUCUUGAAUGGCGCAAAGGGAAGGAGAAUGUGAAGAACUGCCCUUCCUGUGGAUACACGAUCGAAAAAGCUGAAGGCUGCAACCAUGUUGAGUGCAGAUGCGGCUGCCACAUUUGUUGGGCAUGCUUGGCGAACUUCAAGAGCAGCGAAGAGUGUUAUGGCCAUCUCAGAUCUGCGCACCAAUCCUUUGUGGACAUUGUGUAG
RNAcentral lists this ribosomal RNA (5265 nucleotides) under Triticum aestivum (bread wheat). Its description in RNAcentral is "partial small subunit ribosomal RNA". The record is from RNAcentral. Lineage: Eukaryota; Viridiplantae; Streptophyta; Magnoliopsida; Poales; Poaceae.